GCACAAGCGGUGGAUGAUGUGGUUUAAUUCGAUGCAACGCGAAAACCUUACCCACCUUUGACAUGUACGGAACCCUUUAGAGAUAGAGGAGUGCUCGAAAGAGAACCGUAACACAGGUGCUGCAUGGCUGUCGUCAGCUCGUGUCGUGAGAUGUUGGGUUAAGUCCCGCAACGAGCGCAACCCUUGUCAUUAGUUGCUACAUUCAGUUGGGCACUCUAAUGAGACUGCCGGUGACAAACCGGAGGAAGGUGGGGAUGACGUCAAGUCCUCAUGGCCCUUAUAGGUGGGGCUACACACGUCAUACAAUGGAUGGUACAAAGGGUCGCCAACCCGCGAGGGGGAGCCAAUCCCAUAAAGCCAUUCGUAGUCCGGAUCGCAGUCUGCAACUCGACUGCGUGAAGUCGGAAUCGCUAGUAAUCGUGGAUCAGAAUGUCACGGUGAAUACGUUCCCGGGUCUU
Molecule: ribosomal RNA, 458 nt
Filed under: uncultured Acidovorax sp.
Lineage: Bacteria; Pseudomonadati; Pseudomonadota; Betaproteobacteria; Burkholderiales; Comamonadaceae
Description: bacterial SSU rRNA
Rfam family: Bacterial small subunit ribosomal RNA
Source: RNAcentral